UAAUAAAUAUAUCCAAAUAUAAUGCAUUAGAACACUAUAUUUGGAGAAGAAGAGAUGAGAACUUACUUCUAGAGUUCAUAUCUCUGGAUAUUUAAAGCUUAAAGCAUCAAAUACUUCCUGAUUUUCCUUUUAAAAUUAUGUCUACUUCAUCCACUUUUUUCUGUUUUUUUUACCUUAGAAUCUGAGGCUGUUUUCUCUGAUUUGUCUGAAAUUUUUGUAGCAUAAAAUAUGAAUAUGAGGGUUUUUUUAAGGCUGUUUGAACAACUUUUCAGUUUAAAUUUUGUUUCAAAUCAACAUUUCUGUCAGCUGCGACUAAUUUUUCUGAAGUUUUUAUAGCAUAAAAUAUAAACAUUUAUAAAGAUAUUGGUGAAAUUUUACAUUAAUGUAUCAAAGACUUUCUGAGAUAAAAGCUUUUUUUGAGUCUAUUUUGUCUAAAAUCUGACUAUUUAUGGAGAGUUCCCUAUUUUCCGGUAACACUGAUGAACCCUCCAGUCCAGUAGGGGGCGCUAAUGAACCUAAAGUCUGUUUGCCGGCUGUGAAGAAGAUCCACAGAAAGUUUGUUGAACAGUGAAGGAAGACGAGACGCACUGAGCUUGUUGGGAGGAAAGUUCUUUUUGUGGUUAGUUGGCUUCUUUUCAUCCUCAUUUUACAUUUUUUUCUGGUUUUCUUGCCUCUUUUUUGGCCCAUUUCACUUCUUUUUGUGGUGAUUUAGUGUUUUUUUGUGAUUUGUGUCUUUGUGGUGAUUUUGAACCCCUUUGUUGUUAAUGUGCAUCAUUUUGGCUCAUUUUGCACGUUUUUGUGUCGAUUUUGUGUCUUUGUGGUUAGUUGGCUUCUUUUGGUGCUCAUUUUGCAUCUUUUUGUGGUUUCUUACCUCUUUUGGCCCAUUUCACUUCUUUUUGCGGUGAUUUUGUGGGUUUUUUUGGUGAUGUUGAAUUUUUGUGGUGCUUUUGAUUUGUUGUAUUUUUGUGUCUUUUUGUAGUGGUUUUUUGUGGUUGCGCAUCUUUUUGGGAUGAUCCAAAAUGACACUAAAUUAGUGAAUAAAACGGCAGAAAAUGGACCUUAAAUGACUCAAAACUCGUCCAGAAGGACUCAAAGUGUCUAUAAUUCCAUGAAACCUGUGUUUUCAUAUUUAAUCUCAGCCAUAAUCAGAGAUUAUUGAUCUACUGUCCAAUAUUCCAGAUUCUGGAUCAAUGACAUGAUGAGAAGUGAGACAGAAGAUUUCAGGUUUUUUAAUAGUUCCUCAGAUGUUGCUGUUCAAACAGACUUAAUGAGAGAAUAAACCUGAUGGAAGUGGGUCGAUGGGAGAUUUUUAAAAAUCAUAUCUCAGAAAAUAUUUGACAUAUGAAGCUAAAAUUUCCUAAAUAACUUCAUAAAUAUUCAUAUUUUAUGCUGUGGAAAUUUCAGACAAAUCCAACAUGAUCGAGCUGAGAUUUGUUGCUAUUAGGACGAUACAAAAGCUGCUUUUCUCAAAGAAUUUGAGGGUAAAAAUGGCGUUAUUUUAGUAAAAAUAAUAAAAAUAUUGAUCAUAAUCAUGUGUAACAGGAAGUCACAUCAUGUUUUGUUUCUUCUUCUUGUCGUUUCCAGUCAGAAUAAACCCGUUAGUUAAACAUAAAUCCACCAUAAAUCUGGUAACUGGUCAGUUUGUGGCUUUCAGACCAGCAGAGAGUCCCAGUCGAAGUCGUCCUGGAUCUCCUCGCUGUUGCUAUGGAGACUCUUCAGAGGAGGACGCUGUCUGGACGACGGAGGAGGAAGUCCAGCUGAGGACAGGAAGCAGGAAGUGAGACCACAUUUACAGGAUUAGAGAACUUCUGCUUCACAGCAAACAACCGGAACAGAGUCUUUAAUGAGUCUUUAACGAGUCUUUAUCCGAGUCUUUAAUCGAGUCUUUAUCCGAGUCUUUAAUCGAGUCUUUAUCCGAGUCUUUAAUCGAGUCUUUAUCCGAGUCUUUAUCCGAUCUUUAAUCGAGUCUUUAUCCGAGUCUUUGUCCGAGUCUUU
Long non-coding RNA from Amphiprion ocellaris (clown anemonefish), 1995 nucleotides. NCBI's taxonomy places the organism in Eukaryota, Metazoa, Chordata, Actinopteri, Pomacentridae. The record is from Ensembl.